UACGAAGGGGGCUAGCGUUGCUCGGAAUCACUGGGCGUAAAGCGCACGUAGGCGGAUUCCUAAGUCGGGGGUGAAAUCCUGGAGCUUAACUCCAGAACUGCCUUCGAUACUGGGAAUCUUGAGUCCGGAAGAGGUGAGUGGAACUGCGAGUGUAGAGGUGAAAUUCGUAGAUAUUCGCAAGAACACCAGUGGCGAAGGCGGCUCACUGGUCCGGUACUGACGCUGAGGUGCGAAAGCGUGGGGAGCGAACAGG
Molecule: ribosomal RNA, 253 nt
Filed under: uncultured bacterium
Lineage: Bacteria
Description: partial 16S ribosomal RNA
Rfam family: Bacterial small subunit ribosomal RNA
Source: RNAcentral